Molecule: long non-coding RNA, 1028 nt
Organism: Cyprinus carpio (common carp)
Lineage: Eukaryota; Metazoa; Chordata; Actinopteri; Cypriniformes; Cyprinidae
Source: Ensembl
AAUAAUUGCACAUUUAUAUUUUAGAAGUUAGAGAUGAAUAAUAAGCAUUUAUACCUUAUUAUUUUUAUUAUUUUGCUCUAAGACUCUAACCACAUGUAGAGGUUAAUAUAGCGUAUGUAAAGUGAAAUGUAUAGCUCCUAAAGUGUGUUACAUUCAUUUUUUAAAUUUUUCACUGCUAAUGUGUGAAUGACUCACAUCUGCAUGAGCAAAGCAACUGGGAUAAGAUGCAAUAUUGAGCCUGGAGAGCGUUGUAGCUGCUUGAUUCUGCAAAACAACCUACUUGUGGGGGGCCUUGUACAGGAGGCUCUGGUUACACUGUUUCCAAACCACUGAAUAGGGAUCGAAGGACUUUCUGAUGCCAAGAAUGCUGCAGACAGGAUACGGCUCACGGAAAUACUUUCAGACAACUACUCCUUCUACCACUUUUCUACCUCCAGUCAGACACAUGUCAGUCCAGUAUCCAGAUGCACAAACAGCACAUGGACAGUCAAUGCAGAGCUCAUCACAAAGAGAUUACAAAGCACCUGUGGUCUCGUCUGCAGUUUGUACACUGCCACCUGCUGCCUGCUUUCUCAAACCACAACCAAACAACUUUGCUCAUGCAACAAUCUCAAACACACAAGGGAAAUAUUCAGAAACAGAUCAUAUCAGAUCAGCUUGGAACCAGCAGAUGGAGAUCAUGCCAUCUUUAAAAGCCUUCAAACACCAGGGUACCCAUCAUCAAAGAUCGCGCUCAAAAUCCACUACUGAUUGCAGUGAAGGACACAGCUGUUUCUAUGUGGUGAAGCCAUAUAAAGUCGGACACUACAUCAUCCACCCAGAGUUUGUGUCAGAAGCAAAGCACUACUAAAAGCCACAUUGUUUGGGCAUUUUAUAUCUAUUUUUUUUUCCCAUUUAUUGUCAGUUUAUAAAUGUCAUUUUACAGUGUAUUAUUGAGGUACGUUAUGUGUUUGGAGAUCCUGCCUUGAGAUCUAAAUGUGCAUUACAUGACAAAUAAACAACGUUUAUGAUGUGCCUGUUAAAUGUUU